This 1522-nucleotide long non-coding RNA is filed under the name Bos indicus x Bos taurus (hybrid cattle). RNAcentral describes it as "lncRNA (ENSBIXG00005011863.1)". Lineage: Eukaryota; Metazoa; Chordata; Mammalia; Artiodactyla; Bovidae. The record is from RNAcentral.
GUUUGGUAUUCCCAUCUCUUGAAGAAUUUCCCACAGUUUCUUGUGAUCCACACAGUCAAAGGCUUUGGCACAGUCAAUAAAGCAGAAGUAGACAUUUUUCUGGAACUCUAUUGCUUUUUUGAUGAUCCAAUGGAUGUUUGCAAUUUGAUCUCUGGUUCCUUGGCCUUUUUUUUUUUUUUUGGGAAACCUUUUAUUUCAUUCUUAACAUGCUUCAGCUGGUUCCCCCCCGCAACGCCCCGCCCGCCACAAAGCAAUUUAAGUACAGCUAUAAAGACUUAGGAGCACUUUACUUUGGAACAAUCGGUAUUUCUGGAAAACUUCUGGCUGGGUCUUUGACAUUUUCAUUUUGGAAGGUUCAACGGGAACUGUGCAAGAUUUCACGCUACAGUCUAGCUUAGUAACACGGCUGUUCUAGAAGACAACACAUUUUAAGCAUCCACAACACAACCUGCCCCGAGAGUGUUUGCUGAUUACAUUAAUGAUCUGGGUGGUUACAGAGACUUUUGUGCUCAUUUAAUCCAGUUCCUCCUCUGGUGUGCACACUGACAGACACAGGUUCUGCACACACAGACGACCGUGAGAUCUUCCUUCCCGCUUACAGCCAGGGCGGUGGUUGACGCAGGCACUGGCUAGUAAGCCUCAGGAGUCUGGUGACGCCUAGGUCUAGGGUGAUCUGGAAUGGGAAGAGUUAACGGCCCACAAGUCCCCUCACCCGCUGGCUCCAGCCACAUUCCAGAGGGACAGAGCUCAGUGACAACGGCGCCCAGGACCUGAAGUGAAGAGGAGAGCCCUCUGAGAGCCCUCUAUUCUUCGCCAUCUCUCGAAUUAAUUAACUGGAAAUGAGUCUUGUCAAUGUUUUGGAAAGGCAGAAGGGGUGAAAAGCGAUUGCUAGAAUUAAUCACAGUGAGAAACCACUUCAGCCGCCUGCCAGAGCCCAGAAAACCCCACAAGAGGAGACAAUGAAGGGAAGGACAGAGUGGACCCGAGCACUUCCAAGUCUUUGCCAAAGAAGGGACAUGUGUUCAGCGAGAGGAAUUUAUUAUCUGCGGCCACAAAUUUUUAUAACAAAAAUGGCUGCAGACAACAACAUAUUCUCAAGAAAGGGAAUCUUGGAUCAGCUAUCUGGCUACAUUAAAUUUAAAAGCAGUGAAAAUGAGGGUAUAACCCUCAUUUGAAGAAUGGAUGGUGGUGGUCCAAAGAAAGCAGGGUAAGUCAGUAACUUAAGUUAUUUGAACAUCUACUGAUAAAACAUCUAUUGUUUCUUGAAGUGAAGACUGAUACACUCUCCUAAAGGCAAAGAUUCUCAUCACCAUCUUGUAGACACAACUCCUAGCACAUAGCCUGACACAUAGUUGCAUGGCACAUAAGUGUAUGGAACUGAAAUGAGUGAUAUAUUCUGCCUAAAUUAUGAUAGUAUCUCCAUGAAUGAACUUAUAUUUGACUUUGAUAUUGAAGCAUUUCAGUCAUAUUUCAGAUAAAAGAGAGUGUGUUCACAGGAAUAAAGGCUCUUAAAGACAAAGCA